GAAUCGAGCACAUCCCCCUAAUCUCCUGAAGUUCUCCAACAGUAGGAGAGAUGAGGGUUUGUUGUCCAUUACCUUACUAGUUUCCUUUCCUGAUUCCUUACCUACCCUGCAAUCAAUAUCAUAACUCUUUGUAUCUUUUCUUUCUUUUUAUAGCUCUCUGUUCCCAUGGGAUUUUGUGUCUUUAAAGACAUCAUUUGAAGAACAAAUCCAUGUUUGAACCUAGCAGUUUGGAUUUUUGUUUUUUUUUGUUUUUUACAAAGGUAAAAUAAUUAUCGAUUUUGAUCUUGGAAGAUAUAAUUAGAUUAUCAAGUGCCU
Molecule: long non-coding RNA, 315 nt
Filed under: Prunus persica (peach)
Lineage: Eukaryota; Viridiplantae; Streptophyta; Magnoliopsida; Rosales; Rosaceae
Description: long non-coding RNA (PPER_LNC005997)
Source: RNAcentral